UACGUAGGGUGCGAGCGUUGCCCGGAUUUAUUGGGCGUAAAGGGCGCGUAGGCGGUGCCGUACGUCCGUUGUGAAAUCGCUCGGCUCAACUGGGCGGGGUCAGCGGAUACGGUGGCACUUGAGCAAGCUAGGGGGCAAUGGAAUUCCCGGUGUAGUGGUGGAAUGCGUAGACAUCGGGAGGAACACCAGUGGCGAAGGCGGUUGCCUGGGGCUUUGCUGACGCUGAUGCGCGAAAGCGUGGGGAGCGAUCCGG
RNAcentral lists this ribosomal RNA (253 nucleotides) under uncultured bacterium. RNAcentral's name for it is "partial 16S ribosomal RNA". It matches the Rfam family "Bacterial small subunit ribosomal RNA", at positions 524 to 776 of the family's 1533-position model. The record is from RNAcentral.